GCUUGGGAGACAAGCUGUAAAUGAGACGUGGGGCUUAUGUUUUCGGUAGGUGAGAUUUAAUGUACACAAGGGUAAGAGUAGGAAACAAAAGUAAUUCGAAGUUAAAUAUGGUCUUUUUGGUUAAAUUCUACGGGUUCUGGGAGGAGGGCAAUACCAUUUCCUGCUGAGGUGAGUUUGCUCACCCAUUGCCAUAAUCACAAUCGUAAUAAAAAUAACAUUAAUAACUACAAUUGAUCGAGCUCUUUGAGGCGGACAUCGGGUUAGGCAUUUUGGAUCCAAUUUCUCAUUUAAUCCUCACGACCAUCUUGAGGGAGCGCAUUUUACCCGUGUUUUACGGGGGACUGAAGCUUAAGGAGCAGUAACUUGCCCAGGUCACGUGGCUAGGAAGAGACAAGGUCAGGUCAGAGCCACAAGAGGGCGCUCUUCCCCUUUCUAUUCUAUGUUGUCCUGUGGUUCCCGCUUUUCCUCAGGGGCACCUUCCACAAAUGUAAAAACCCCACAUAAACAUCUUGUUUCUCUGUCUUCCUCCUCCCCAGUGUCUCUCUCUCCUCUCAGUCUGUUUGUCUCCUCUCAGUUUCUCUCUCCCUUUCCUUACUUGUUUUUUGUCUCUCUCUUCCUCCUUGUUUUCUGUUUAUUUAUCUAUUUCAGGGGAUGGGCAGCCUUGGGAAUAUGGGCUGUAGGUAGGAAGAGAACAUUUCUGGAACUGAAAAUUAUGCUGCAUCUUGUCUAACGGGAAGCAAAAUUUUUGAAUGUGGGAAUCUUGUAAAAUCUAGACGUUGGUCAUCAAUACACAUGGCAUGAAACUGUAAAACUAUGAGCAGCUGUGGUGAGUUGUGACUGGGAAGCCACAUGGGGUGUGUAUGAGCACAUGCAUUUGCAAGCUUCCCUGGAGCUUCCUCCAGGUUACUCCUGGGUUCUGCCUUUCCCUGGUUACACUUAGGAUUGAAGCCUCAUUCACCUCUGUGUAUUUGCUCAUGCUUUUCCUGUCACUGGUGUUAAUUUCUGUAGUCUCUCUGCAUGUUUAACUAAAUUCUACCUCUUUUUUUUUUUUUUUUUUGAGACAGAGUCUUGCCUGUUGCCCAGGCUGGAGUGCAGGGGUGUGAUCUCAGCUCACUGCAACUUGAGUCUCCCAGGUUCAAGCGAUUCUCCUGCCUCAGCCUCCUGAGUAGCUGGGAUUACAUACAGGUGCACACCACCACGCAGGGCUAAUUUUUUCUUUUCCUUUCUUUUUGUUUUUUUUAGACAGAAUCUCGCUCUGUUGCGCAGGCUGGAGUACAGUGGUGUGAUCCGGGCUCACUACAACCUCUGCCUCCCAGGUUCAAGCGAUUCUUCUGCCUGGGACUACAGAUGAAGAAACUGAGGCCUUGAGGAGGCAAGUAAUAUAUCCGCAAAGAGGGGCUGUCCUGCCUGGGAAGAUGAGCGACACAUGGGUUUUCCGAGAAGCGACACAUCUGAAGAGUGAAAGCAGCUCUACGGAAAGACCUGUGUGGCUAGGAACUAAGGCCUCCUGUCAAUAGUCCUGUGUAUGAGUCAUCUUGGAAGUAGAUUGCCCAGCUGCCGUCAAGCCUUCAGAAGACUGUGGUCCUCACUGACAUCUUGCCUGCAACCUCAUGAGAGUUCCUGAGCUAGACCACCCAGUUAAGUUACUGCUGGAUUCCUGACCACAGAAACUGUGAGCUGAUGUUACGCUUCAAUCUACUGUCUGCAUUCUUAACUCUGUCUCAGCAUCUGAUUCCCAGAGGACCUAACUGAUGGUGGUUCCAGGAAUGCUCAAAGAAAACAGGUGCUCCACCCUCCACCCUGUUCUAUGGCCCUGGGCGUGACUUGCUCUUGCCCCUUGCCUUCUGUUUGGAUCCUGCCAAUGAGGACUCCUAGCAGGAGAUGGGGGCUCUCAUAUUUAACUGAAAGGCUCAGCUCCACGCAGCGUUUCUGUCUCCAGCCCACACAGCACGAUGAGAUAAAGACUAGAGGCUGCUCACUGCUGAGAGUGGACCAUCCAGCUCAUUUGGUCACAUAAUUUCCAGCCAGCCACCUUAUGGGCAAGAUUUUGGCUCACCUGUAAGCUAUUAGCUGGAAAAUACUGGCUUCAUGAAAUGGCUUGGAAGAUUUGGAGGCAACCUAAAUGUCCAUCAACAGAUGAAUGGAUAAAGAACAACAGGGUGACUAAAGUCAAUAAUAAUUUAAUUAUACAUUUAAAAAUAACUAAAAGAGUGUAAUUGGAUUGUUUGUAACACAAAAGAUAAAUGUUUGAGGGAAUGAAUACAUGAAGCGAUUAUUUGCAUGAUGUGAUUAUUUGCAUUGCAGGCCUGUAACAAAAUAUCUUAUGUACCCCAUAAAUAUACACACCUACUAUGUACCCACAAAAAUUAAAAAUUUUUAAAAAAUGACUUGGGAAGUUUGUCUCCUCUAUUUCCUGAAGAAGUUUGGGAAGGAUUGGUAUUAUUUCUUCUUUAAAUGUUUGGUAGAAUACAUCAGUGUAGCUAUUUGGCUGGAGUUUUACUUGUGGGACAGUUUUGAUGUAAGAAUUCAAUUUCUUUAACAGAUACAGAACUACUCUGGUUAUUCCUUCUUUUUGAGUGAGCUUUGAUAGUUUGUGGAUUAAAUGGCAAAUAUUCAUUUUCUUUGUCAGAUGUAUUGGCAUAAAGUUGCUUAUAUAACCCCUUAUUAUCCUUUAAAUAACUAUAUGAUCUGUAGUAAUGACUCCUCUUUCAUUCUUGAUAUUGGCAAUUUGUGUUUUUCUUAAUCAGUAAGACUGACUAGACGUUUAUCAGUUUUUAAAAUUGAUCUUAAGAAAGUGUCUGAUUUUGUUUUUUUCAAUUUCUACGUUUUUCUGUUUCAUUGAUUUCUGCUCUUAUCCUUAUUUACUUUAUUCUAAUUAUUUGGGUUAAAUUUACUCUUAUUUUCUAGUUGAUUUAGUUGGAGAUUUAAAUUACCUGAGACCUUCCUUCCUAAUACAGACAUUUAGUGCUAUAAAUUUUCUUCUAAGCACUGUUUUAUCUCUAUCCCCAAAAUUUUGUGAUGCUGUGUUUUCAUUUUCCUUCAUCUCAAAAUACAUAUAUAUAUUUUAGAUUUUUAGGUUCGUGAGUACAUGUGCACAUUUAUUAUAUAGGUAAAUUGCAUGUCACAAGGGUUUGGUGUACAGACUAUUUCAUCACCCAGGUGAUAAACCUGAUACGUAGUUUUUCAGUCCUCACCCUCCUCCCAUCCUCCAUCCUCAAGGAGGCCCCAAUGUCUAUUGCUCUCUUCUUUGUGCCCAUGUGUACUUAAUGGUUAGCUUCCAUUUAUAAGUGAGAACAUGUGGCAUUUGGUUUUCUGUUCUUGUGUUAGUUAGUUUAGGAUAAUGGUCUCCAGUUCCACCCAUGCUGCUGCAAAGGACAUGAUCUCUUUUAUGACAUGGUGUCCCUUGUAAUUUCUUUUUUAACACAAGCAGUUGUUGAGAAAAGUUUUAGUUGUUUUAAAAAUAUUGAGUUUUUAAAAGAUAUCUUUCUG
Molecule: long non-coding RNA, 3489 nt
Filed under: Homo sapiens (human)
Lineage: Eukaryota; Metazoa; Chordata; Mammalia; Primates; Hominidae
Description: HSALNT0219767
Source: RNAcentral